AAGAUACUAGUAAAGAACUUACAUUGCCUUGUCAAGGCAACAUCGCGGGUUGGACCCCCGCGUGUCUUA
RNAcentral lists this transfer RNA (69 nucleotides) under Chrysochir aurea (Reeve's croaker). Its description in RNAcentral is "tRNA-Asp". Lineage: Eukaryota; Metazoa; Chordata; Actinopteri; Sciaenidae. The record is from RNAcentral.